RNAcentral lists this transfer RNA (70 nucleotides) under Lithobates pustulosus (Mexican Cascade frog). RNAcentral describes it as "Rana pustulosa (Mexican Cascade frog) tRNA-Val". It matches the Rfam family "tRNA". Rfam says of the family: Transfer RNA (tRNA) molecules are approximately 80 nucleotides in length. Their secondary structure includes four short double-helical elements and three loops (D, anti-codon, and T loops). Further hydrogen bonds mediate the characteristic L-shaped molecular structure. tRNAs have two regions of fundamental functional importance: the anti-codon, which is responsible for specific mRNA codon recognition, and the 3' end, to which the tRNAs corresponding amino acid is attached (by aminoacyl-tRNA synthetases). tRNAs cope with the degeneracy of the genetic code in two manners: having more than one tRNA (with a specific anti-codon) for a particular amino acid; and 'wobble' base-pairing, i.e. permitting non-standard base-pairing at the 3rd anti-codon position. Lineage: Eukaryota; Metazoa; Chordata; Amphibia; Anura; Ranidae. The record is from RNAcentral.
ACAAAAUGUAACUUAAAUAAAGUUCUCCGCUUACACCGUAGGUAUAUCUGUUAAAAUCAGUUCAUUUUGA